RNAcentral lists this ribosomal RNA (856 nucleotides) under uncultured bacterium. RNAcentral's name for it is "bacterial SSU rRNA". It matches the Rfam family "Bacterial small subunit ribosomal RNA", at positions 28 to 896 of the family's 1533-position model. The record is from RNAcentral.
AAUGAACGUUGGCGGCGUGGAUUAGGCAUGCAAGUCGAACGGGCCCGGUUUUCGGAUCGGGUCAGUGGCGCAAGGGUGAGUAAGGCGACGGUAACCAACCCCAUGGUUGGGUAUAGCCGCGGGAAACUGCGGGUAAUCCCCAGCGACGUAAGUUGUCGGCAUCGAUGGCUUACCAAAGCUCUGGCGCCGUGGGACGGGCCGUCGUGGUAUUAGGUAGUUGGCGGGGUAACGGCCCACCAAGCCUAUGAUGCCUACCGGGCGUGCGAGCGUGGCCCGGCACACUGGGACUGAGACACUGCCCAGACUCCUACGGGAGGCUGCAGUCGAGAAUCUUCGGCAAUGGGCGCAAGCCUGACCGAGCGACGCCGCGUGGAGGAUGAAGGCCUUCGGGUUGUAAACUCCUGUCGAGGGGGAGGAAGGGGUAACCUUGACCGAUCCCUGGAGGAAGCACGGGCUAAGUUCGUGCCAGCAGCCGCGGUAAGACGAACCGUGCGAACGUUAUUCGGAAUCACUGGGCUUAAAGCGCGUGUAGGCGGAUGGGGACGUCGGUUGCUGAAAGCCCCCGGCUCAACCGGGGAACUGGCGCCGAAACGCCCCGUCUGGAGGGACGUAGGGGGAUCUGGAACUUCCGGUGGAGCGGUGAAAUGCGUUGAGAUCGGAAGGAACGCCCGUGGCGAAAGCGAGGUCCUGGACGUCUGCUGACGCUGAGACGCGAAAGCUAGGGGAGCAAACGGGAUUAGAUACCCCGGUAGUCCUAGCCGUAAACGAUGGGCACUGGGUAGGGGGCUCGCCGAUGGGCUCUCUGCCGUAGCGAAAGCGUGAAGUGCCCCGCCUGGGGAGUAUGGUCGCAAGGCUG